AGAGUUUGAUCCUGGCUCAGAGCGAACGCUGGCGGCGUGCCUAACACAUGCAAGUCGAGUGCGCGGUAGCAAUACUGGCGCACGGCGCACGGGUGCGUAACACGUGGGCAACCUGCCCUUCAGAGGGGGAUAACCCCGCGAAAGCGGGGCUAAUACCGCAUGACAUCGCGAUGACCUCGGUUGUUGCGAUCAAAGCCGCA
RNAcentral lists this ribosomal RNA (200 nucleotides) under uncultured bacterium. RNAcentral describes it as "partial 16S ribosomal RNA". It matches the Rfam family "Bacterial small subunit ribosomal RNA", at positions 8 to 211 of the family's 1533-position model. The record is from RNAcentral.